Molecule: long non-coding RNA, 1133 nt
Organism: Oryzias melastigma (Indian medaka)
Lineage: Eukaryota; Metazoa; Chordata; Actinopteri; Beloniformes; Adrianichthyidae
Exons: 2
Source: RefSeq, a predicted model, not a curated record
UCAAGUGAAGCUCUCACUGCAGGAGUGAAGCACACAGAACCAGAGAGACUCUGAACGAUCUGGUGAAAACAAACACAGUGAUGUGCUUGCUGGUGCCUCUGAAGAGAUCUCCAAAACAUAUACACCCAAGCUACUGGACCAACAUCAUUCAUGAUGUGACAACGAAGGAAUUCCAGAACAACUUCUGCGGUUGCUCUGCGGCAGGAGUGUCAGGGCGUUGAGAGGGAAAUCUGUCAGACAGCAGACAUGAAUUUGACGCGUUCUGUCCAUGCACCAUCACUCAUUGUUUCUAUGGCAACCACUCAAGCCAGUCAGGAGUGAGCUUGUUGAAAGGCCACACCCUUACAACUUUGAACGGGGGCCUGGGAAAAUCUGUCAAACAUGAGAAGACCUACUUUUACUGCGACAUCUGACUGACGGAUGAAAUUGGAAUGAGAAACAAACCAGAGCAUUCAGAUGACCAGCUGGAGUCUGAAACAUUCUGUCUGAAGCUGAAGGAAGCUGACUGGGAAAAGCUUGAUUUCUCUUUCUUGUGAGUUUUUAUUUUUAUUAUUAUUUUUAUUAGCAGUGCUCCAUGAAUGCUGUAGCAGAAAAGAGGGCUUUCGGCUCAAGUCGAGCUGAAGUGGUGUUUCUUUGGAAGAUGAUUAAUGAAGCUCCUGUCCACAAAAACUAGAAGUGUUCUUCCUCAUCACACAAGUGAUGCUGAUUAAUUCACUGAAGUGUACUCUAAUUACUGCCUCACUCUUUAUCUAUGCGGCUCUUUUCCUGUGGAGUUAGACCGCUGAACAGCAGUGAGCAGCAUUUUUUUUUUUGGGGGGGGGGGUCUCACAGUCUCACCUGUGCAUCAGUUCUACAUGAGAGCUUCGACUCAUCACUGUGAUCUCCGCGUGGAGGCCAGGCCAAGGAUGGAUGUGAGCUGCUGGACCUUCAGCCCUCUGCCAGCUGGACUCUGCACCAUCCACUUCCAAAUGAUCUGACUUCCUGUCUCCAACCUGCUCUGCAUUCACCACUGCAGCCUGUCAGUUUGCCAGCCCUCUCUCUUACAAAAUCGACAGUCAUCCAUCCUUGGCACGGCGGUGGCUCCCCCUAAACAGCCUCAAUAAAAACCGCGAUGCUGUAUACAUUUCCAUUAA